CAAGGCAAUUAGAUGGCGCAGUAGCAUGUCGACCCGCUGCCGCUAGCCGGUCGAAGGCCUCCAGGGUUGAAACGGCUUUUAUCGGGAAGAAGAGCAGGGUGCGUCCUGUGUGACGGUACCGAUGAUAAGCACCGGCUAACUCCGUGCCAGCAGCCGCGGUAAUACGGAGGGUGCGAGCGUUGUCCGGAUUAUUGGGUUUAAAGGGUGCGUAGGUGGCUUUAUAAGUCAGUGGUGAAAUACGGUUGCUCAACAAUCGAGGUGCCAUUGAUACUGCAAAGCUUGAAAUAAUUGGAGGCUGCCGGAAUGGAUGGUGUAGCGGUGAAAUGCAUAGAUAUCAUCCAGAACACCGAUUGCGAAGGCAGGUGGCUACGAUUGGUUUGACACUGAGGCACGAAAGCAUGGGGAGCAAACAGGAUUAGAUACCCUGGUAGUCCAUGCUGUAAACGAUGAGGACUCGUUGUUUGACUGUAAAGUUGAGCGACUUAGGGAAACCGUUAAGUCCUCCACCUGGGGAGUACGCCGGCAACGGUGAAACUCAAAGGAAUUGACGGGGAACGACCAACCAGGGCUAUUCGAUGCUUUUCCCCUCGGUGAAGACCGGCCGGACGGCAACCAGAAUACACCGACCUGCUGCCUCCCUAGG
This 643-nucleotide ribosomal RNA is filed under the name Brevibacillus sp. KNF7. RNAcentral describes it as "bacterial SSU rRNA". It matches the Rfam family "Bacterial small subunit ribosomal RNA", at positions 355 to 1262 of the family's 1533-position model. The record is from RNAcentral. Lineage: Bacteria; Bacillati; Bacillota; Bacilli; Caryophanales; Paenibacillaceae.